This 76-nucleotide transfer RNA is filed under the name Verrucomicrobiota bacterium. RNAcentral's name for it is "tRNA-Phe". It matches the Rfam family "tRNA". From Rfam's summary of the family: Transfer RNA (tRNA) molecules are approximately 80 nucleotides in length. Their secondary structure includes four short double-helical elements and three loops (D, anti-codon, and T loops). Lineage: Bacteria; Pseudomonadati; Verrucomicrobiota. The record is from RNAcentral.
GGCUGGAUAGCUCAGUUGGUAGAGCAGAGGACUGAAAAUCCUUGUGUCGCUGGUUCGAACCCGGCUCUAGCCACCA